Small nuclear RNA from Danio aesculapii, 117 nucleotides. RefSeq annotates it as U5 spliceosomal RNA. The record is from RefSeq and is a predicted model, not a curated record. The transcript has a single exon. Lineage: Eukaryota; Metazoa; Chordata; Actinopteri; Cypriniformes; Danionidae.
ACACUCAUGUUUCUCUUCAAUUCGAAUGAAUCUUUCGCCUUUUACUAAAGAUUUCCGUGGAGAGGAACACCAUCAGUAUUAACGAAUUAUUUUGAUGCCCUGCUUUAAAGUGGGGCU